GAUGAACGCUGGCGGCGUGCCUAAUACAUGCAAGUCGAGCGAACGGACGAGAAGCUUGCUUUUCUGAUGUUAGCGGCGGACGGGUGAGUAACACGUGGAUAACCUACCUAUAAGACUGGGAUAACUUCGGGAAACCGGAGCUUAUACCGGAUAAUAUUUUGAACCGCAUGGUUCAAAAGUGAUAGACGGUCUUUCUGUCACUUAUAGAUGGAUCCGCGCUGCAUUAGCUAGUUGGUAAGGUAACGGCUUACCAAGGCAACGAUGCAUAGCCGACCUGAGAGGGUGAUAGGCCACACUGGAACUGAGACACGGUCCAGACUCCUACGGGAGGCAGCAGUAGGGAAUCUUCCGCAAUGGGCGAAAGCCUGACGGAGCAACGCCGCGUGAGUGAUGAAGGUCUUCGGAUCGUAAAACUCUGUUAUUAGGGAAGAACAUAUGUGUAAGUAACUGUGCACGUCUUGACGGUACCUAAUCAGAAAGCCACGGCUAACUACGUG
RNAcentral lists this ribosomal RNA (497 nucleotides) under uncultured bacterium. Its description in RNAcentral is "partial 16S ribosomal RNA". It matches the Rfam family "Bacterial small subunit ribosomal RNA", at positions 28 to 507 of the family's 1533-position model. The record is from RNAcentral.